UUAGACCUUGCAUAUUCUAUUGUAUUAUGGGAUGAAAGUCAGAGAGAGAUCUAUAUGAGUCCUCUUCUAUCUGCUGACUAUUCAUCCUUCAUGGUGGGCAUUCAACCUAACCUUGCAGUACAAGGAAAUUUUGUGCAAAGGAACAACAAACAAGGUCAAAGAAACACUGGGCAAUUUCAGCAACAAUCUCAGAAACCAGGGAACCACAUGCAAUUUCAAAGAUCAGGAAGCAAUAUGCAGAAAAAUGAGAACACUCCACAAAG
This 263-nucleotide long non-coding RNA is filed under the name Nicotiana benthamiana. RNAcentral's name for it is "long non-coding RNA (NBEN_LNC026066)". Lineage: Eukaryota; Viridiplantae; Streptophyta; Magnoliopsida; Solanales; Solanaceae. The record is from RNAcentral.